RNAcentral lists this ribosomal RNA (250 nucleotides) under uncultured prokaryote. RNAcentral describes it as "partial 16S ribosomal RNA". It matches the Rfam family "Bacterial small subunit ribosomal RNA", at positions 524 to 773 of the family's 1533-position model. The record is from RNAcentral.
UACGGAGGAUGCGAGCGUUAUCCGAAUUUAUUGGGUUUAAAGGGUGCGUAGGCGGGUGCUUAAGCGUGAGGUGUAAGCUCGGAGCUCAACUCCGGAACUGCCUCGCGAACUGGGUGCCUUGAAUGUCCGUGCCGUGGGAGGAAUGUGUGGUGUAGCGGUGAAAUGCAUAGAGAUCACACAGAACACCGAUUGCGAAGGCAUCUCACGAACGGAUGAUUGACGCUGAGGCACGAAAGCGUGGGGAUCAAAC